Non-coding RNA from Pelobates cultripes (western spadefoot toad), 245 nucleotides. NCBI's taxonomy places the organism in Eukaryota, Metazoa, Chordata, Amphibia, Anura, Pelobatidae. The record is from the annotation of a GenBank genome assembly.
CAGAAAUAAUCAGCAAGGGCAGCAAGCAUAUCAGCAGAAAAAUUAAAUCAAUGACUAUAGUGUCACUUUAACUGAAUGUGGAUCGUAUUUUCUAUCAGAAAAUAAAAAGCAAAGCCUUGAAUUAAUCCUCGCAUGCCCUGAGCUAUCUCACUGUUAGUUACAAAAUAUCAGUACUUCCAGACAGAUGUAUAUGACGGUGCCCACUAUUUUAGAGCCAAAACAAAUAGUCACAAAUCAAAUGCAAA